Long non-coding RNA from Magnolia sinica, 1922 nucleotides. RefSeq lists it as uncharacterized. The record is from RefSeq and is a predicted model, not a curated record. Lineage: Eukaryota; Viridiplantae; Streptophyta; Magnoliopsida; Magnoliales; Magnoliaceae. The transcript is spliced from 7 exons.
AGAGAAGAAAUGGAAAAAAAAAAAAAAUCAGAAAAAAUGAAAAAAAUGAUAGCCGUUGGAUUCGAGGGUUCGGCCAAUAAGAUCGGGGCGUGGGCUGUCCAAUCCGGGCCACACAUACAUCACAUCACACCACCUGAUCAUGGCUUCCUCCCACACGAGACAGCCCGCCACCAUCUCAACCACAUCCUCUCCCUCAUCAAAUCCGCCCUCGAAACCGCCCAAAUUACAGCCCAUGCCAUCGACUGCCUCUGCUACACAAAGGGCCCCGGCAUGGGCGCCCCUCUCCAGGUCCCCGCCAUCGCCGUCCGCGUCCUCUCCCAGCUUUGAAUCAAGCCCAUCGUGGCCGUCGAUCCCUGCGUCGCCCAUAUCGAGAUGGGCCGGGUCGUGACCGGGGCUGACGACCCUAUCGUGCUCUAUGUCAUCGGCGGCAACACUCAGGUCAUCACCUACAACGAGGGGCGGCAUCGUAUCUUCAUGAGACAAUCGACAUUGCCGUCGGGAAUUGCUUGGAUCGGUUUGCAAGGCUCCUGACACAGUCCAAUGACCCGAGCCCUUGGUACAAGAUCGAGCAGCUUGCAAAGAAAGGAAAGCUAUUUCUAGAUAUUCCUUAUGUUUUGAAGGGAAUGGAUGUUUCUUUUAGCGGGAUCUUGAGCUACAUUGAAGCUUCUGCUGCUGAGAAGCUGAAAAACAAUGAGUGCACCCCUCCAGAUCUGUGCUACUCCUUGCAGAGUGUGCAAUGGCAAAUUGGGACAAGAAAGAUGUUCUCAUUGUUGGUGGUGUUGGAUGCAAUGAAUGCUUGCAAGAGAUGAUGAGGACAAUGUGCUUCGAGAGGGGUGGCCAGCUUUUUGCAACUGACGAUGGGCACUGCAUUGAUAAUGGAGUGAUGAUAGCAUAUACUGGCCUUCUUGCUUAUGCCCGUGGUGUGACAACCCCACUAGAGGAAGCAACAGUCAACCCAGAGGUUCUGAACUGACAAAGUCGAAGCAAUCUGGAGAGUGAAGAACACACCAGAUGCUGAUGGGAUUUGUGGCAGUGUUCGAAUUGAUGGGAUUUGUGAUGAGCUCUAAGGAACUUGUGAUGCUGCUUACUUGAGAGCUCAAAUCCAAGGGAGAUGUAUCAUGCAUGGGACUUUCCCUUGUUUUGGCACUUGGACUGCAGACGUGACAUACAUGAACUCAAAUUGAAUGUUUGCUGGUAUUGGUGGAGACUUGUUUACUGAAGUCAAGAUAUUUCUCAUCUCAACCAUCCAAUGAUGUCCACCAACUGUUUGAUGGAUGCAGGAAAGGAAAAGGCAAAGACGACAGGCAGCAGUGACAGUGGUAAAAGCAUAAAAGUGCAGGCGCCUUCCCCACCGACCUAAGGCAACAAACUACAAUUUUUAUUUAGGAACACGAAGGAGAGGGAUGGUAAGGGAUUACCUGUGGUUUAUAGCUCACAUGCCAAAAUGGCACAUGUAUGGGAGGUCUGGAGGAUUUUUUAGGUAGGGCCGAUCGUGAAUGUUCCAUGUCCACUAAAUCAGUCCAAUUCACUGAUGUGACAGGCUGCACAUAUGGGGUCCACCUAACGAGUGGAACUUGCCAUUGCAAACAGGGCCUGUUGACUUUGGGCACCAUCAAGCGUAUGGCCUGAAUCUCACAAGCGUUGUGGCAUGUCCUCAGUUCACAUGUUUAAGCUCUCCUUCCGCUACUUGAGCAUCACUUGGACUCUCGACAGCAACAGGUAUCUCUCAUUACAGUGGAAAAUGCCUCUAGAUUAAUAUCUUUGGGAAGAAACAAAUUCACUUAUUAUUUUCUGAUGAAAAGCAUGGUUGAUUUAUAAUACAAGCAACAUAUGACACUUUUGUUGUGAAAUCAGUUUCAUUUCCAACCAUAACAGCUCUUUUGGACAUGAGAAAUUCAAGGAAAAAAUAUGAAAAAAAAAAA